GCUUGAAGGUAAUAAACUCUGAAAAUACUGUGCACAGUGCAAGCCUAACUACCGUACCUUUCAACAAUGAAUCUACCGCAUCAAGCUCGGCACCGCAAACUUGGACAGCUUUAUUUGACGUUUUAGUUAUCUGUGCACGCUUUGAUCAUUCCGGAUAUAAU
Molecule: long non-coding RNA, 161 nt
Organism: Ostrea edulis (European flat oyster)
Lineage: Eukaryota; Metazoa; Mollusca; Bivalvia; Ostreida; Ostreidae
Exons: 2
Source: RefSeq, a predicted model, not a curated record